UUACUCAUUUUACUGAUAUAAUUAAUGAUCUUAAGAGCUUGGGCAAAUCUUAUUCUAACAGUGAACUUAUGAGAAAAAUUUUUAGGUCUGCUUAUCGAGCUUGGGAGGCAAAGGUGAUGGCGAUACAAGAAGCUAAGGACCUUAACACCUUAUCACUUGAAGAGCUUCUUGAUUCCCUAAUGAUGCAUGAACUGACCAUGAAACAAAAC
RNAcentral lists this long non-coding RNA (209 nucleotides) under Elaeis guineensis (African oil palm). Its description in RNAcentral is "long non-coding RNA (EGUI_LNC008480)". Lineage: Eukaryota; Viridiplantae; Streptophyta; Magnoliopsida; Arecales; Arecaceae. The record is from RNAcentral.